Molecule: unclassified non-coding RNA, 533 nt
Filed under: Hevea brasiliensis (rubber tree)
Lineage: Eukaryota; Viridiplantae; Streptophyta; Magnoliopsida; Malpighiales; Euphorbiaceae
Source: RNAcentral
GAACAACCCACCCAUUUGUCAAGAAAAAGCAGCAGCAGUUGCUGCAAGGAGCCAAAAUAUGGAAUUCUUCUGUUAGGAAUAAUCUUGCAUCCUGAAGUAAGAGAUAUUGUUGACAAAUGACUCUAGCAAUAGAAGGCUACAAAUUCAGUUGUAGAAUUACCAUGACUUGGCAAAAGUAACUCCAUAAAAUGCACUAAUUGAUGUCUAAAACUAAGAGGAUAAAUUAGAUCAGAACUAUCCAACUAUGCUUUUUUCCUUUCUUCUCCUCUUGUCUCUGUAUUUCUCUCACCUCCCUUUCUUUUAUUCCUUCCCCCUACCGACCUGAUUCUUGUAGACCUGUGUGUCUCUGAACUGUAGUAUAUUCCAUUUCACCAGUUCAACCCCAACUCAAGAUUUAAAAUGGAUGUUCUGGCUUUUAAUUUAAUUUCUUUUUUUCUUUAUGCAAAUCCUAGCAGAGUCAACAAUACCUUCACAAACAUUGCAAUUUGCAUUAGUUUUCUUAAAUUCCUCUCAUAGAAUUACAGUGAUCAAAA